RNAcentral lists this microRNA (21 nucleotides) under Homo sapiens (human). RNAcentral describes it as "hsa-miR-4480". Lineage: Eukaryota; Metazoa; Chordata; Mammalia; Primates; Hominidae. The record is from miRBase by way of RNAcentral.
AGCCAAGUGGAAGUUACUUUA